GGCCUCGUAGCUCAACUGGUAGAGCGCACGUGGCACUAUGCGUGGAUGGCAAAAAUGCGCGGGUGGCAACUAUGUGUGGGUUCGAUUCCCACCCGGGCCA
Molecule: transfer RNA, 100 nt
Filed under: Fasciola hepatica (liver fluke)
Lineage: Eukaryota; Metazoa; Platyhelminthes; Trematoda; Plagiorchiida; Fasciolidae
Rfam family: tRNA
About the family: Transfer RNA (tRNA) molecules are approximately 80 nucleotides in length. Their secondary structure includes four short double-helical elements and three loops (D, anti-codon, and T loops).
Source: Rfam by way of RNAcentral